UACUAAACCCAUCUGAUAAUUUUGAGAGCAACAAAAAGUUAUCGAAUAUGCGAGAGCUGGUUAGAAUUACAGUUUGGAUCUUAUUACUCUGUGGGUCAGUUUCAUUUUCUUUUCAAGAAGAAACCCAGUUCAAAAUAGAUGGCAAAGCAAUAGAGCUGGAGGAAUCAAACUUUGAAUCAGCAAUCUCAGCCUUUGACUUGAUCUUAAUCGAUUUUUACGUUACCUGGUGCGGCCACUGCAAGCGCCUCGCUCCUCAGGAACCUGGAUGGUCAACACACAAAAGAAACAACUAUGUUAUGCAGCCAUCAGAAUGGUCGCAUUUUAACAUCAGGAGGCCUUGUUGAAUCCAUUAUCAAUCAUGGUCUGGAUUGCUUCUAGUACUACAUGAGAAAGAAGUGGAAGAGUACAGUCCAAGUAGAAAUGAUAUCAAUCCAAGUGCAAAUGAAUCUAGUAGGUUUCCUUCUGAUUUGAAUGAAUUCCCUCAAGCUUUUUUUUGGAUCAACAAUGGAUGUGAUUGCCAGUUUGCCACAACUACGCAGAUCCCUGUUGACAAUGAUGGAGCAGAAUCUAGUGGAAGUGAUUACUUUGAUGAAGAUGAAACCUAGUGAAAGUGACUGCUUUGAUGCAGAUGAAUUUGAACCUAGCUACUGAAAGUGAUCUACUUUUAAAAAUGAUGAAGAUGAACGACUUCCUAAAGAAUUGAAAUUCUUUUGAAGGGAAAAGCCUAUAUCUUGUAGUUUCAUUUUAUAUAUAUACUGGUAAGUCCAUGUCUCAAUUUCUAACAGAAAUCUACCUUAUUUUACUCUCAAUUUCUAUGAAUAAGUGCAGAAGCUGAAUGGCACUUUCUGGUAGGAAAAAUAAUAUGUACCAAUAUAAGGAUAUGCUGCUUGGAUUCAUGAAACAUUAUUUUGGGAACAACAAAACUAUAAUCCUGAGUGGUUGUUUGUUAGCUUAUAUUUACUGACUGGAGCUUUUGGAGACACCGUUCAAUGGCUAAAGUUGGGGAGUUAAAACUGGCUAAAGUUGGGGAGUUAAAAGCUGCAAAGCUCUAGAGUCCUUGAGUUUUCCCAGGUUUUACUAUCUGACAAACUUUAGUGUAGAACCCAGUAUCUUGUACUCUUAAAUAAAUGUAGCUGAUUUCUUAAAUCAAUGUUUUAGAGAGCCUGGAUGGCCUAACUUUGGUAUCAGCUGGGGUGGACUGAUGAGACCCUUGGCUUCUGGGAGAAU
Molecule: long non-coding RNA, 1227 nt
Organism: Pistacia vera
Lineage: Eukaryota; Viridiplantae; Streptophyta; Magnoliopsida; Sapindales; Anacardiaceae
Exons: 3
Source: RefSeq, a predicted model, not a curated record